This 253-nucleotide ribosomal RNA is filed under the name uncultured bacterium. RNAcentral's name for it is "partial 16S ribosomal RNA". It matches the Rfam family "Bacterial small subunit ribosomal RNA", at positions 524 to 776 of the family's 1533-position model. The record is from RNAcentral.
UACGUAGGGGGCAAGCGUUGUCCGGAAUCAUUGGGCGUAAAGAGCGUGUAGGCGGCCCGAUAAGUCCGCCGUGAAAGUCCAGGGCUCAACCCUGGGAUGCCGGUGGAAACUGUCGGGCUGGAGUCCGGAAGAGGCGAGUGGAAUUCCUGGUGUAGCGGUGAAAUGCGCAGAUAUCGGGAAGAACACCCGUGGCGAAGGCGGCUCUCUGGGACGGUACUGACGCUGAGACGCGAAAGCGUGGGGAGCGAACAGG